This 1755-nucleotide long non-coding RNA is filed under the name Homo sapiens (human). RNAcentral describes it as "non-protein coding lnc-FDX1-1:9". The record is from RNAcentral. Lineage: Eukaryota; Metazoa; Chordata; Mammalia; Primates; Hominidae.
GUUCUUAGAGCUCCCGAGAUGGUGGCGGCCGGCUCCCAAGGUGGCAGCAAGACUUUUGUUCUCUGACCUGGGGUUCUUGGCCUCCUGGAUUCCAAAGAAUGGAACCUUGGGGCCAUGCGAUUACUGGUGUGAUUACUGUCUCCUGACUGGACCCUGACUGCUAUAGAAUUGAUAAAUAUGCUGAGGCAUGUUUUCAAGGAGGGGAGAGAGAUUCCUUUUCCUCAGCCGGGCACAGAGCCAACCUGAAGUGUAGCACUGUGGUGACCUGGCGGGAUCUGCUCUCCAGUCACUCCCGAGGGCCCUUCUGGGGACAAGGAGACUUUUCUGUGCGGCCUGUUGAUUUGAGAUCGAGGCUAUCAAGCUACAGAUGAUCUUACAAAUGGAACCCCAAAUGAGCUCAACUAACAACUACCAAGGACCCCUGGACCAACCCGCUGGCCCUUUCAAUGGCCUAAAGAGUUCCCCUCUGGAGGACACUACAACUGCAGGGUCCUUUCUUUGCCCCUAUCCAGCAGGAAGUAGCUAGAGUGGUCAUCACCCAAUUCCCAACAGCAGUUGGGGUGUCUUGUUAAGUGGGGAGAUUGAGAGGUGAAGCCAGCUGGGCUUCUGGGUUGGGUGGGGACUUGGAGAACUUUUCUGUCUAGCUAGAGGAUUGUAAACACACCAAUCAGUGCUAUGUGUCUAGCUAGAGGUUUGUAAAUGCACCAAUCAGCACUCUGUAAAAACGGACCAAUCAGCACUCUGUAAAAUGGACCAAUCAGUAGGAUGCGGGCAGGGCCAAAUAAGGGAAUAAAAGCUGGCCACCUGAGUCAGCAGUGGCAACCCACUCGGGUCCCCUUCCAUGCUGUGGAAGCUUUGUUCUUUCACUCUUCACAAUAAAUCUUGCUGCUGCUCACUCUUUGGGUCCACACCACCUUUAUGAGCUGCAACACUCACUGCGAAGGUCUUCAGCUUCACUCCUGAAGUCAGCGAGACCACGAACCCAUGGGGAGGAACAAUCGACUUCAGACAUGCCACCUUUAAGAGCUGUAACACUCACUGCGAAGGUCUGUGGCUUCACUCCUGAAGUCAGCAAGACCACGAACCCACUGGAAGGAAGAAAUUUCGGACACAUCUGAACAUCUGAAUGAACAAACUCUGGACACGCCAUCUUUAAGAACUGUAACACUCACUGUGAGGGUUCAUGGGUUCAUUCUUGAAGUCAGCAAGACCAAGAACCCACCAGAAGGAACCAAUUCCGGACACAGACUCACUGCAACCUCCACCUCCUGGAUUCAAGUGAUUCUCCUGCCUCAGCCUCCGGAGUAGCUGUGCCUACAGGCACAAGCCACCACACACGGCUAAUUUUUUGUAUUUUUAGUAGAGAUGGGGUUUCACCAUGUUGCUCAGGCUGGUCUCCAACUCCUGAGCUCAAGUGAUCCACCUGUCUCGGCCUCCCAAAGUGUUGGGAUACAUGUGUGAGCCACUGUGCCCGGCCUCCUCUGGAUUAGUUCUUACAGGAAUAGAUUAGUUCUUGCUCGAGCAAGUUGUUAUAAAAGUGAGGUUGCCUCUAGUGUUUUGCAUCCUCACAUAUGUCUGCUUACCUCUUGACCUCUCUCUGUGUUAUGACCCAGCACAAAAGCCCUUACCAGAAGCCAAGCAGAUGCUGAUGCCACACCCCUUGGACUUCUCAGUCUACAGAGCCAUGAAACGAAUAAACCUCUCUUUAUAAAUUAUCCAGCUUCAGGUAUUCUGUUAUAGCAACACAAAAUGGAC